RNAcentral lists this ribosomal RNA (253 nucleotides) under uncultured bacterium. Its description in RNAcentral is "partial 16S ribosomal RNA". It matches the Rfam family "Bacterial small subunit ribosomal RNA", at positions 524 to 776 of the family's 1533-position model. The record is from RNAcentral.
UACGAAGGGGGCUAGCGUUGUUCGGAAUUACUGGGCGUAAAGCGCACGUAGGCGGAUUGUUAAGUUAGGGGUGAAAUCCCAGGGCUCAACCCUGGAACUGCCUUUAAUACUGGCAAUCUCGAGUCCGAGAGAGGUGAGUGGAAUUCCGAGUGUAGAGGUGAAAUUCGUAGAUAUUCGGAGGAACACCAGUGGCGAAGGCGGCUCACUGGCUCGGUACUGACGCUGAGGAGCGAAAGCGUGGGGAGCGAACAGG